GAUUAAUUGUAAAGGGCUUUUGGUGGAUGCCUAGGCAUUAAGAGGCGAUGAAGGAUGCGGAAGACUGCAAUAAGCUUCGGGGAGCUGUCAAUCGAGCGAUAAUCCGAAGAUAUCCGAAUGGGGCAACCCACCUUGGCAAACCCAAGGUAUCCAUAUCUGAAUACAUAGGGUAUGGAGGCGAACGGUCUGAACUGAAACAUCUAAGUAGGACUAGGAAGAGAAAACAACGUGAUUCCCUAAGUAGUGGUGAGCGAAAGGGGAAAAGCCUAAACCUAUAACAUGUGAUAACCUGUGCGUGUUGUGUUAUAGGGGUAGUGGGAUGUAAAUGUCUAAAGAGUACAGUCUUUAGCAUAGAGCUAUCUAGCUUAGCUGAAUUGUUCUGGAAAGGACAGCCACAGAAAGUGACAGCCUUGUAAGCGAAAAGUAGAUAAGCAUAUGAAUUUAUAUUCCCGAGUACCGUAGAGCACGUGAAAUUCUGCGGGAAUCUGUCCAGACCAUCGGAUAAGGCUAAAUACUACUUAAUGACCGAUAGUGAACUAGUACCGUGAGGGAAAGGUGAAAAGAACCCCGGAAGGGGAGUGAAAUAGAAACUGAAACCAAUUGUCUACAAUCGGUGGAAGCGAUGUAUAUGUACGCGCAACCACGUACCUUUUGCAUAAUGAGCCAACGAGUUAUCUUAUACUGCAAGGUUAAGCUUAGAAAGAGCGGAGCCGUAGCGAAAGCGAGUCUGAAUAGGGCGUUUAGUAGUAUGGGAUAGACCCGAAACCUAGUGAGCUAUCCAUGUCCAGGGUGAAGUCUUAGUAAAAUGAGAUGGAGGCCCGAACCGGUGUAGGUUGAAAACUGCUCGGAUGAGGUGUGGAUAGGAGUGAAAGGCUAAUCAAACUGGGAAAUAGCUGGUUCUCCCCGAAAUAUAUUUAGGUAUAGCCUUGUUGGAUUCUCUAUGGAGGUAAAGCACAGUUUAAACUUUGGGGGCGCAAGCUUACCAGGUUUUUGCUAACUCUGAAUACCGUAGUUUUAGAAGACAGGAGACAGACUGUGGGGGAUAAGCUUCAUAGUCGAGAGGGAAACAGCCCAGACCAUCAGUUAAGGUCCCAAAAUAUUCGUUAAGUUGGAAAAGAAGUGGCAAUACACAGACAGCCAGGAGGUUGGCUUAGAAGCAGCCAUCCUUUAAAGAAAGCGUAAUAGCUCACUGGUCAAGUGUUGUUGCGCUUAAAAACGAGCGGGGAUAAACGAAUUACCGAAGCUAUGGCUUGUAUCGAAAUUUAUUUCUGAUGCAGGGGUAGGGGAGCGUUCUCUAGUAGAUACGAGCUUGACCGGAAGGACAGGUGAUGGACUAGAGAAGUGAGUAUGUUGGUAUAAGUAACGAAAAAAUAGGUGAGAUUCCUGUUCGCCGUAAGUCUAAGGUUUCCGUGAGAUCGGUUCAUCCACUCAGGGUUAGUCGAUACCUAAGCCGAGGCCAGUUGGAGUAGGCGAUGGACAACAGGUUAAUAUUCCUGUACCACUUAUAAGCGUUUGAGUGAAGGGGUGACGCAGUAGGGUAGGUUAACUUGGACUUUGGAUUGCCAAGCUAAGCGUAAAGAUGAGCAUUAUAGGAAAAUCCGUAAUGCUGCUAUCAUUGAAACGUUAUGGGCAUGUAUAUUUCUUGUAGAUAUAUGUGUUUGAUUGAUCCCACACUGACCAGAAAAACCUCUAGCGAGCUCUAUGAGUGAUCGUACCGCAAACCGACACAGGUAGACGGGCUGAGAAUGCUCAGGCGUUGAGAUAACCAUCAUUAAGGAACUCGGCAAAAUGACCCCGUAACUUCGGGAGAAGGGGUGCCUGCGAUGUCGUUAAAAAGCAUUGUCAGGUUACAACAAAGAGGCCCAACCGACUGUUUAACAAAAACACAGGGCUCUGCUAACUCGUAAGAGGAUGUAUAGAGUCUGACGCCUGCCCAGUGCUGGAAGGUUAAUAGGAGAGGUUAGCCGCAAGGCGAAGCUUUGAAUUGAAGCCCCAGUAAACGGCGGCCGUAACUAUAACGGUCCUAAGGUAGCGAAGUCCCUUGUCGGGUAAGUUCCGACCUGCAUGAAUGGCGUAACGAGUUGGGCGCUGUCUUAAUGAUGGACUCAGUGAAUUUGUAGUGCCGGUGAAAAUGCCGGCUUCCCGCAACUGGACGGAAAGACCCCGUGCACCUUUACUGCAACUUGACAUUGAUUUUCGGAUUGGUAUGUGUAGGAUAGGUGGGAGGCUUUGAUGUUGAAGCGCUAGCUUCAGCGGAGCCAUCCUUGAAAUACCACCCUUAUCCGUUUGAAGAUCUAACUUCGACCCGUGAUCCGGGCGAAGGACCGUGUCUGGUGGGCAGUUUGACUGGGGUGGUCGCCUCCCAAAUCGUAACGGAGGCAUACAAAGGUUCCCUCAAGACGAAUAGAAAUCGUCGGUAGAGCGUAAAGGCAGAAGGGAGCUUAACUGCGAGACAUACAGGUCGAGCAGAUGCGAAAGCAGGUCUUAGUGAUCCAGUGGUUCCGAAUGGAAGGGCCAUUGCUAAAUGGAUAAAAGGUACGCCGGGGAUAACAGGCUGAUCUCCUCUGAGAGUCCAUAUCGACGAGGAGGUUUGGCACCUCGAUGUCGGCUCAUCGCAUCCUGGGGCUGGAGAAGGUCCCAAGGGUUUGGCUGUUCGCCAAUUAAAGCGGUACGUGAGCUGGGUUCAGAACGUCGCAAGACAGUUCGGUCCUUAUCCGUUGUGGGCGUAGGGUAUUUGAGAGGGCUUGUUCCUAGUACGAGAGGACCGGAAUGAGUUAGCCUCUGGUGUUCCAGUUGUUCACCACGAGCAAGCUGGGUAGCUAAGCUGAUUAGAGAUAACCGCUGAAAGCAUCUAAGUGGGAAACUCGCCUCAAGAUAAGAUACCCCGUAUAACGCAAGUUAUACAUUAAGAUCCCUCGAAGACUACGAGGUUGAUAGGCUGGGUGUGUAAGCACAGUAAUGUGUUCAGCUAACCAGUACUAAUAGAUCGAAUGUUUUAAAUCACA
This 3005-nucleotide ribosomal RNA is filed under the name Candidatus Babelota bacterium. RNAcentral describes it as "23S ribosomal RNA". It matches the Rfam family "Bacterial large subunit ribosomal RNA". The record is from RNAcentral.